CACCGCCUGGGGAGUACGACCGCAAGGUUAAAACUCAAAUGAAUUGACGGGGACCCGCACAAGUAGUGGAGCAUGUGGUUUAAUUCGAAGAUACGCGCAGAACCUUACCAACACUUGACAUGUUCGUCGCGACUUUAAGAGAUUAAAGUUUUCGGUUCGGCCGGACGAAACACAGGUGCUGCAUGGCUGUCGUCAGCUCGUGUCGUGAGAUGUUGGGUUAAGUCCCGCAACGAGCGCAACCCUCACUUUUAGUUGCCAUCAUUUAGUUGGGCACUCUGAAAGAACUGCCAGUGAUAAGCUGGAGGAAGGUGGGGAUGACGUCAAGUCCUCAUGGCCCUUACGUGUUGGGCUACACACGUGCUACAAUGGCAUUUACAAUAGGAAGCAAGACGGCGACGUUAAGCAAAUCCUAAAAAAAUGCCUCAGUUCGGAUUGUACUCUGCAACUCGAGUACAUGAAGCUGGAAUUACUAGUAAUCGCGGAUCAGCGCGCCGCGGUGAAUACGUUCCCGGGUCUUGUACACACCGCCCGUCACACCAUGGGAGUUGGUUCUACCUUAAGGCAAAGGUUAAAAACUUUGACCACGGUAUAGUCAGCGACUGGGGUGAAGUCGUAACAAGGUAGCCGUAGGGGAACCUGCGGCUGGAUUACCUCCUUUCUAAGGAUGAACAAAAUCUCCGAUUUUGUUCUAAAUAUUUAACAGGUUAAUGUUGACCGUCCGCAUUUCUCUUCUUAAUAUUUUUUGUGUUUCUCUUAAAUACAAUGAGGGCCGGUAGCUCAGUUGGUUAGAGCACACCCUUGAUAAGGGUGGGGUCGAUAGUUCGAGUCUAUCUCGGCCCACCAAUAUUAUCCGGGGGAUUAGCUCAGCUGGGAGAGCGCCUGAUUUGCAUUCAGGAGGUCAGCGGUUCGAUCCCGCUAUCCUCCACCAUGAAACACUUAGUUAUUUUAUUUUGUGAAGAAAUUUUUUUAUAUUAUCAAUAUCUAUAUCCGAUUGUUCGAAUAGAUGAACAAUCAAUAAAUAUUCGAAUAGAUGAAUAUUUAAUAAAAAUUUGAUUCAACACAGAAUUUUUUUCUG
This 1075-nucleotide small RNA is filed under the name uncultured Pelagibacterales bacterium. RNAcentral describes it as "bacterial SSU rRNA". The stretch from base 1 to 658 matches the Rfam family "Bacterial small subunit ribosomal RNA", at positions 867 to 1533 of the family's 1533-position model. The record is from RNAcentral. Lineage: Bacteria; Pseudomonadati; Pseudomonadota; Alphaproteobacteria; Candidatus Pelagibacterales.